Molecule: transfer RNA, 88 nt
Filed under: Rhodothermaceae bacterium
Lineage: Bacteria; Pseudomonadati; Rhodothermota; Rhodothermia; Rhodothermales; Rhodothermaceae
Description: tRNA-Ser
Rfam family: tRNA
About the family: Transfer RNA (tRNA) molecules are approximately 80 nucleotides in length. Their secondary structure includes four short double-helical elements and three loops (D, anti-codon, and T loops).
Source: RNAcentral
GGAGAGGUGACCGAGUGGCUGAAGGUGCACGCCUGGAAAGCGUGUGUGCCCUAUCCGGGUACCGAGGGUUCGAAUCCCUCCCUCUCCG